This 1600-nucleotide long non-coding RNA is filed under the name Homo sapiens (human). RNAcentral's name for it is "HSALNT0349151". The record is from RNAcentral. Lineage: Eukaryota; Metazoa; Chordata; Mammalia; Primates; Hominidae.
AUUUGGCCUUUGGCAAUUCAGUAAACAUUUUAGCAAUUUCUUCUUUCCUGCCUGCUGAAGACUGACUUCCUCCUGCUGCCAAAGGUUUGCAGUGCUUAUUUAAGUUCUAGAGUCUGGACGUCUGAGAUCAGGGUGCCAGCACUGUCGAGGUCACAGACUGCAGACCUCCUUGUAUCUUCAAAUGGAGGAAAGAGGACAAGAGAGCUCCUGUGGUCCCUUUUAUCAAGAUGAAUGCACAAGGAAAAUGUUGUACAUUUGCACAUUGGAGUACACUUCAGCCAUAAAAAGAAUGAGAUGCUGUCAUUUGCAACAACAGGUCAACAGCAAUCUGAGACACACUCUUCUCAUGGCAGAUUAUGGGACCAUAAAGCAGUCUCACUCUGUCGCCCAGGCUGGAGUUCAGUGGCAUGAUCUCGGCUCACUGCAACCUCUGCCUCCCCGGUUCAAGCGAUUCUCCUGCCUCAGCAUCCCAAGCAGCUGGAAUUACAACCACAUGCCACCAUGACCAGCUAAUUUUUGUAUUUUUAGUAGAGGCGAGGUUUCACCACAUUGGUCAGGCUGGAAUUGCAUCUUUUUAAUGACUGUAGGCCAUGAUUCAAGAAUGAGUCUCAUAUACAUUAUGCUCAUUCUUAAUGUCUUCUAAAUUAAUAAAUAUAUUAGAAUAUAUUCGCAAAAUCUUUCCAAUCUGAUCUGAGACUCUCACAAUAUGUCUAAUAUUAUGUGAAACACUAUGCUCUUUGAAGCGAUUUCACAUUAAUAAACUAACAUUUUCAUCACACAGAUUAUUUAAGUAAUGUAAAAUAUUAUUAUGAGUAUAUAACAGAAAAACAGAGUUAGGGAAGAAAUCCACCUAAAAUGAUGAGGGGUUAAUAGAUUUUGACUCUACACUAUUACCAGGUCUCUAAUGAAGUGUCCCAAAAUUUGUGUCUUUUUAGAAUACAUAACAAAUUAUAUUAUUUGUACAAGACACUGAAGUAAAAUGACCAAGGUGUUCCUAAGCCACAAGCUACAAGCACUGACCUGCUACUCCAGCCUUGCCCUCUCAAAGAGCAAAGAUGUUAAUACCUGGUCUCAGUAAUAAAGUUGGGUAAAAUUUAAACAACCAUGAGAAAGCUUUGAUAGUAUUUUUCAUGUUUCAAUUUUCUGGUGAUGUCAAGAUAUUAUUAAUUAUUCAUUGACAUGUAUAAAUAAACUUCAGUCACCUUAAGAAUACUUUACAUUAUUUUCUGUAAAAAUUUUCUGUAAAAUUAUGCCUAAUUAAUAAACUGAUAAUAUUAAAAUACACGUUCCACCAAGUGUUCACUUUUUUUAACACAAGUGUUAGAAUGCAUUUCAGAUCACGACUAUUACUCAUUAUCAUUUUAAUUGAUGUUUAAUUAAAUUUUAAAAAUGUUUUAUUUUUUAGUUGAAAAAUACAAUUGUAUGUAUUUAUGGUAUGCAACAUAGUUUUAAAAUAUGUAUUGUUGUGGAAUGGCUAAUUAGAGCUGAUUAACAUAUGCAUUACCCAAUACACUUAUCAUUUCUUUUGUGGUGAGAACACAAAAUAUAUUCUCUUAGUGAUUUUUGAGUAUUCAAUCUAUUGUUAUUAAAUAUAGUCACC